This 443-nucleotide non-coding RNA is filed under the name Pongo abelii (Sumatran orangutan). The record is from RNAcentral. Lineage: Eukaryota; Metazoa; Chordata; Mammalia; Primates; Hominidae.
CACACCGAAUCCACUGAACAGAGCUCUUUGGCUUUUGGAAUAGCAAAAAAGGAACUGUACAUGGAUAUUUCCAAGCUGGAACCGAGGCACUUUCUAGACGAAGGCAGCCUUAUCCCCAGGAGAAGAUUUAAAAUGUAAAAACUAUUCUGAGCCUGCAGGCCAUAGCCAAAGAGGUACCAGCUGUAUUUUGUCCAUGGGCGGUAGCUUGUGAUUCUUGGUCUAGGUCUUUCCAGGUCAACCAGGGGCCUGUCCCAGAGUGAGACCCACUGGUGACUCCCCAGAGUGGGACCAAGUGAAAGCACUUGGCUGGAUCAGAGGGAUAUGAGCCUGGCUGCUCCUAAAACAAGACACUCCUUGCCUUUGAUGUUCAAGUCAUUUAAGAAGGCAAUUGCUUCCUACUCAAUUUUUCAAAACCAAAAUAGCAAAUACGAUAUGAGCCAUAA